UGGGGUAUGGUGUAAUGAAAAGCGCGUUCGGCUUAUAUCCGAAAAGCCCGGGUUUGAUUCCCGGUACCCCGACCA
Molecule: transfer RNA, 75 nt
Filed under: Caudoviricetes sp.
Lineage: Duplodnaviria; Heunggongvirae; Uroviricota; Caudoviricetes
Description: tRNA-Ile
Rfam family: tRNA
About the family: Transfer RNA (tRNA) molecules are approximately 80 nucleotides in length. Their secondary structure includes four short double-helical elements and three loops (D, anti-codon, and T loops).
Source: RNAcentral